This 498-nucleotide ribosomal RNA is filed under the name uncultured bacterium. Its description in RNAcentral is "partial 16S ribosomal RNA". It matches the Rfam family "Bacterial small subunit ribosomal RNA", at positions 30 to 523 of the family's 1533-position model. The record is from RNAcentral.
AUUGAACGCUGGCGGCAUGCCUUACACAUGCAAGUCGAACGGUAACAGGUCUUCGGAUGCUGACGAGUGGCGAACGGGUGAGUAAUACAUCGGAACGUGCCUAGUAGUGGGGGAUAACUACUCGAAAGAGUGGCUAAUACCGCAUGAGAUCUACGGAUGAAAGAAGGGGAUAGCAAGACCUUGUGCUACUAGAGCGGACGAUGGCAGAUUAGGUAGUUGGUGGGAUAAAAGCUUACCAAGCCGACGAUCUGUAGCUGGUCUGAGAGGACGAUCAGCCACACUGGGACUGAAACACGGCCCAGACUCCUACGGGAGGCAGCAGUGGGGAAUUUUGGACAAUGGGCGAAAGCCUGAUCCAGCAAUGCCGCGUGCAGGAUGAAGGCCUUCGGGUUGUAAACUGCUUUUGUACGGAACGAAAAGCCCCGGGUUAAUACCCUGGGGUCAUGACGGUACCGUAAGAAUAAGCACCGGCUAACUACGUGCCAGCCGCCGCGGUAA